RNAcentral lists this ribosomal RNA (253 nucleotides) under uncultured bacterium. Its description in RNAcentral is "partial 16S ribosomal RNA". It matches the Rfam family "Bacterial small subunit ribosomal RNA", at positions 524 to 776 of the family's 1533-position model. The record is from RNAcentral.
UACGGAGGGUGCAAGCGUUGCUCGGAAUUAUUGGGCGUAAAGGGCAGGUAGGUGGUCUCAUUUGUCUGGGGUGAAAGCCUUGAGCUUAACUCAAGAAGUGCCCCAGAAACGGUGAGACUGGAGUCCUAGAGAGGGUCGUGGAAUUCCCGGUGUAGCGGUGAAAUGCGUAGAGAUCGGGAGGAACACCCGUGGCGAAGGCGGCCAUCUGGACCAGUACUGACGCUGAGGCACGAAAGCGUGGGGAGCAAACAGG